GCAGAGGAGGGGCUCACGAGGCCUCGCCCUCAGCUGAGGGAGCUGGUGACAAACGCUGGCUGCAGAAGAAAGGGGAGUCCUUUUUAUUUUUUGCUUUUGCAUUUUUGCUUUCUCGAGACGGAGUCUCUCUGUGUAGCCCUGGCUGUCCUGGAACUCGUUCUGUAGACCAGGCUGGCCUCAAGUUCACACAGAUCCUCCUGCCUCUGCUUCCCAAGAGCUGGGGUGAAAAGCUUGUGCCACCACCGCCCAGCAAGGGAGUUCCUUUUCUUGAGGGGCUCUGCCACUGAUAGUCUGCCCACGCGCCACAGGAUAACGCCACACCCGUGUUCGUGCGGGGCCGCGCUGCUCAGACUCCACGGGUUGCCCUAAAAUGGAAGAGGACAUGUAGGAUUACUUUCAAGAAAUAAGAUAGAGAUACAGACAGCCAAGCUUGCAAAAACACAUGAGCAACCAACCAGAGUCUACUGAGAGGGUAAGUGAGGGCUCGGCACUGAAAGGUCCGCCAUAUCCCUCUUGUGGUUCCUCCUGGACCGGAAGGGCUCUAGUGGAAGCAGACAGCAGCAGUGUGGAAAGGUAAACAAGCUUUUGGAAGGGACCCUGCGUGCUCUUGGGACAACCUGUAAACUCUGGCUCUUAUCCCGGCAAAUCUACCUGGACAUGACGACGCCGGUGAGGUAAACAGCAGCUCUGCCAGGCCUGCGCCUCCCUCCCACUCUUCCCUCAGAGGGACCUUGCGUCUUGGUUGAUUCAAUAGGAGGAUUCACCGGCACUACUUUAAGGCGAA
Apodemus sylvaticus (European woodmouse) is the source of this 784-nucleotide long non-coding RNA. RefSeq lists it as uncharacterized. The transcript is spliced from 3 exons. The record is from RefSeq and is a predicted model, not a curated record. NCBI's taxonomy places the organism in Eukaryota, Metazoa, Chordata, Mammalia, Rodentia, Muridae.